UACGUAGGAUGCAAGCGUUGUCCGGAAUUAUUGGCGUAAAGAGCGCGCAGGCGGUUUGAGAAGUCAGAUGUGAAAGAGGCCGGCUUAACCGGCAAGGGUCAUUUGAAACUGACAGACUAGAGUACAGCAGAGGAUAGCGGAAUUCCCGGUGUAGUGGUGAAAUGCGUAGAUAUCGGGAGGAACACCAGUGGCGAAGGCGGCUAUCUGGGCUGAAACUGACGCUGAGGCGCG
Molecule: ribosomal RNA, 231 nt
Filed under: uncultured bacterium
Lineage: Bacteria
Description: partial 16S ribosomal RNA
Rfam family: Bacterial small subunit ribosomal RNA
Source: RNAcentral